Long non-coding RNA from Brassica napus (rape), 1392 nucleotides. RefSeq lists it as uncharacterized. Lineage: Eukaryota; Viridiplantae; Streptophyta; Magnoliopsida; Brassicales; Brassicaceae. The record is from RefSeq and is a predicted model, not a curated record. The transcript has 5 exons.
GCAUAAUAUGAUGUUUGAAACGCCGCUUUUCUUAUUUUAUCGUUUCACGCUCUCUCUUCUCCGCAGUAAGAAAUUCUAAAGUUUCUAUCCAUUCACUGAUCCAUCAAUCAAUCUGCGCAGUAGCGAAUCUAGAGUUUGGAGCAAUUUAUUCAUCUUUUUCCUACUGAUCCAAUCUAGAAAUCAAUCAGUGGAGGUUCCACUAUAAUAAGGCUGAAGAAGCUACACACGAGUAAAGGAUGAGGAGUGCUAGGCAGAUGAGUGGAAGUUGAAAGAAGAAGAAAAAGCUCAACAAGCCUAAAAAGAAGAUACAGCUGCCUUAGAGUUUGAAUAACCAAACACUUUUCCAUUCUAACCGUCAUUCUGCCAAACAUAAACAAACUUCACGGUGAAGGAUGGAUACAAUACAAGUAUUAUGGACAUCAACAGCAGUUUGCAGAGGGACGGUGUCUUAGUACAUCUUCAUCAUAAAGAAGGUAUGCAGUUUCAGAUGGGAGAGCUCGGGAGAGGUCAUUUUGGUUGCACUUGCUCUGCUAGCCUAAGUUCAAGAAAGAGAGCUCAAGGGUCAGGAGGUUGCUGUUAAAGUCACCCCAAAACCAGAGGUUUGUUUUGCUGGCGAGUGAUGGUCGUAUAACAUGAGAAUAGCUAUUUCUGAGUCCAAGGAAAAAGAAGCCAUAAGAUAAAUAGCGGAGCUACCGAAGCAGCCGCAGAAAGCAACACAAAGGCUGAUGAAGAAAAAAUUUUCACUGUCACAGUGCAAAAUCAUUCACUGAAGAGCUUCGAAAGUCUCAAGAAGAAGCAGAGCAAGCAAAGGCUGGGGCAAGUACAAUGGAGACCAUUUUAUUUGCAACUUAGGAAUAAACUAAGGCUGCUAAGGGUUCAGAGAGGUUGGCAUUAGCCGCCGUCUGCUUAGCUAGCGUGCUCAUGAUGCUGAAGAAGAAGCCAAUACAAUGGUUGCAACAGUUGUUCUGAGAUCGAGGAAGCUAGAGAAAUAGACAAGGUAACUUGGAGAGGAAGAAGCAAAAAACACUUGCAGAAGAAAUUGAGAAAGCUAAAGAAGAAGAGUUAGGCGUAGAACAAGAGUUGAGAAAAUGGAAAGGAGAAUUUAUGGAAGAAGAAUAGAAGGGUCAAAGGCGAAGAAACUGAGUCUAGGAACUGAACAAACCCAAUCUCACAAGGAAAUCCUAGAAAAAGGUCACGUAAGUGAGUCUGAUGUGAAGAAGUUGAUUAUGUAAGAUCUGUUUUAUAAAUGUAUAAAUCUACGUUAUAAUAGAAGAGUUAAGUCAUCUCGGUUUCUGAAUUUUAGUUACCAGCAGUAACUUACUUUAUUAGUAACAUUUUAUUUCAAUGGCUGAUGUAAUAGAACCGGGAAUAUUAAGGCAACAGUUACCAAAA